AGCCUGAAGCAGCAACGCCGCGUGAGGANGACGGCCUUUGGGUUGUAAACUCUUUUAGUAGGGAAGAAGCGAGAGUGACGGUACCUGCAGAAAAGCACCGGCUUAAUACGUGCCAGCAGCCGCGGUAAUACGUAGGGUGCAAGCGUUGUCCGGAAUUAUUGGGCGUAAAGAGCUCGUAGGCGGUUUGUCGCGUCUGCUGUGAAAUCCUGAGGCUCAACCUUGGGCGUGCAGUGGGUACGGGCAGGCUAGAGUGCGGUAGGGGAGAUUGGAAUUCCUGGUGUAGCGGUGGAAUGCGCAGAUAUCAGGAGGAACACCGAUGGCGAAGGCAGAUCUCUGGGCCGUAACUGACGCUGAGGAGCGAAAGCAUGGGGAGCGAACAGGAUUAGAUACCCUGGUAGUCCAUGCCGUAAACGUUGGGAACUAGAUGUAGGGCCUGUUCCACGGGUUCUGUGUCGUAGCUAACGCAUUAAGUUCCCCGCCUGGGGAGUACGGCCGCAAGGCUAAAACUCAAAGGAAUUGACGGGGGCCCGCACAAGCGGCGGAGCAUGCGGAUUAAUUCGAUGCAACGCGAAGAACCUUACCAAGGCUUGACAUAUAGAAGAACGGGUCAGAAAUGAUUCACUCUUUGGACACUUCUAUACAGGUGGUGCAUGGUUGUCGUCAGCUCGUGUCGUGAGAUGUUCGGUUAAGUCCGGUAACGAGCGCAACCCUCGUCCUAUGUUGCCAGCACGUGAUGGUGGGAACUCAUGGGAUACUGCCGUGGUCAACACGGAGGAAGGUGGGGAUGACGUCAAAUCAUCAUGCCCCUUAUGUCUUGGGCUUCACGCAUGCUACAAUGGCCGGUACAGUGGGCGGCGAUACCGUAAGGUGGAGCGAAUCCCAAAAAGCCGGUCUCAGUUCGGAUUGGGGUCUGCAACUCGACCCCAUGAAGUCGGAGUCGCUAGUAAUCGCAGAUCAG
This 958-nucleotide ribosomal RNA is filed under the name uncultured bacterium. RNAcentral describes it as "bacterial SSU rRNA". It matches the Rfam family "Bacterial small subunit ribosomal RNA", at positions 380 to 1352 of the family's 1533-position model. The record is from RNAcentral.